Molecule: transfer RNA, 76 nt
Filed under: Candidatus Glomeribacter gigasporarum BEG34
Lineage: Bacteria; Pseudomonadati; Pseudomonadota; Betaproteobacteria; Burkholderiales; Burkholderiaceae
Description: tRNA-Arg
Rfam family: tRNA
About the family: Transfer RNA (tRNA) molecules are approximately 80 nucleotides in length. Their secondary structure includes four short double-helical elements and three loops (D, anti-codon, and T loops).
Source: RNAcentral
GCGCCCGUAGCUCAGUGGAUAGAGCGUUGGUCUCCGAAGCCGAAGGUCGCUGGUUCGAUCCCAGCCGGGCGCACCC